Molecule: ribosomal RNA, 274 nt
Filed under: uncultured prokaryote
Description: partial 16S ribosomal RNA
Rfam family: Bacterial small subunit ribosomal RNA
Source: RNAcentral
UACGUAGGGGGCGAGCGUUGUCCGGAUUUACUGGGCGUAAAGGGUGAGUAGGCGGUUAUAUAUGUCAGGUGUAAAAGGCUAUGGCUUAACCAUGGUUAGCACUUGAAACUGUAUGACUUGAGUGCAGGAGAGGUAAGUGGAAUUCCUAGUGUAGCGGUGAAAUGCGUAGAUAUUAGGAGGAACACCAGUGGCGAAGGCGACUUACUGGACUGUAACUGACGCUGAGUCACGAAAGCGUGGGUAGCAAACAGGAUUAGAUACCCGUGUAGUCCCU